GACGAACGCUGGCGGCGUGCCUAAUACAUGCAAGUAGAACGCUGAAGAGAGGAGCUUGCUCUUCUUGGAUGAGUUGCGAACGGGUGAGUAACGCGUAGGUAACCUGCCUUGUAGCGGGGGAUAACUAUUGGAAACGAUAGCUAAUACCGCAUAACAAUGGAUGACACAUGUCAUUUAUUUGAAAGGGGCAAUUGCUCCACUACAAGAUGGACCUGCGUUGUAUUAGCUAGUAGGUGAGGUAAUGGCUCACCUAGGCGACGAUACAUAGCCGACCUGAGAGGGUGAUCGGCCACACUGGGACUGAGACACGGCCCAGACUCCUACGGGAGGCAGCAGUAGGGAAUCUUCGGCAAUAGGGGCAACCCUGACCGAGCAACGCCGCGGGAGUGAAGAAGGUUUUCGGAUCGUAAAGCUCUGUUGUAAGUCAGGAACGGGUGUGAGAGUGGAAAGUUCACACUGUGACGGUAGCUUACCAGAAAGGGACGGCUAACUACGUG
Molecule: ribosomal RNA, 497 nt
Filed under: uncultured bacterium
Lineage: Bacteria
Description: partial 16S ribosomal RNA
Rfam family: Bacterial small subunit ribosomal RNA
Source: RNAcentral